Molecule: transfer RNA, 39 nt
Filed under: Saccharomyces cerevisiae (brewer's yeast)
Lineage: Eukaryota; Fungi; Ascomycota; Saccharomycetes; Saccharomycetales; Saccharomycetaceae
Description: tRNA-Tyr(sup6-o)
Source: RNAcentral
AUCUUGAGAUCGGGCGUUCGACUCGCCCCCGGGAGAUAU